Molecule: non-coding RNA, 133 nt
Filed under: Mus musculus (house mouse)
Lineage: Eukaryota; Metazoa; Chordata; Mammalia; Rodentia; Muridae
Description: Eukaryotic small subunit ribosomal RNA
Rfam family: Eukaryotic small subunit ribosomal RNA
Source: Rfam by way of RNAcentral
AUGGAGCGGGGCCUUUGAGCACCCAGCUUUCUUUCGAGGCCCUGUAAUUAAAAUGAGUCCACUUUAAAUCCUUUAAUGAGGAUCCAUUUGAGGGCAAGUCUGAUGCCAGCAGCCAUGGUAAUUCCAGCUCCGA